UUCGUGAACUCAAAUGCCCCCCAAUCCGUCGAUGAGAGCUGCAACUGUGUUUACAGUUAACCCACUUCCCAUUUCGAUCAGGUCAGUCACUCACAACUGCUUUCUGCACCUUUACGGUCCGCUCAACCCAAAAAUAUGGCGCUAAGCACUGCGUAAAGAUCAAGAACCACAACACUGGUCCACAACAAAAACAACAACAAAGAGCGCCCAAAUCCUGUGCAGCACAUCCAGCCACCAUCUCUGUGUCCCAGAAACAAGUGUUUUUAACGGAGAAAGCCAGCUCGCGACUACAGUAAAGUAACUUCCUGCAUGUGGCUGUAGGUGAAACGGGAUUUUCUGGCUGAGCGGCCGCAGCUGUCCACGCGGGCUCCUCUCAUGCCUGUGGAUGGUGCGUAAUAAUAUCAUCUGGAGAGGCCGAGGCCGACAUUUUACCCCGGUCCGGAGGACAUCCGAGGACACGCGAUAAGGCUGCGAGGCUGCGACAUGUGAAACGGCUCCGCCCCUCUCAACUCUCAACCUUCGCGGAACUCACUUGAAACGACGUUGCGACCGCGACCUGACACCCUCCUGCCUCGGGCAUGCCUCAGCCGGGUAUGAAUGGGAUGGAGCCUGCGUUUGGCGAGGCCUACGGGGGACACAGGGGUCUGCUGAGCCCCUACCCUCUGGCCAUGUCGCCACAAGGGGGCAGGACUGAGUACGACCAG
Molecule: long non-coding RNA, 704 nt
Organism: Cottoperca gobio
Lineage: Eukaryota; Metazoa; Chordata; Actinopteri; Perciformes; Bovichtidae
Exons: 5
Source: RefSeq, a predicted model, not a curated record